CAGUAGCCGCGGUAAUACGUAGGGUGCAAGCGUUAAUCGGAAUUACUGGGCGUAAAGCGUGCGCAGGCGGUUUGUUAAGACAGAUGUGAAAUCCCCGGGCUCAACCUGGGAACUGCAUUUGUGACUGGCAAGCUAGAGUGUGGCAGAGGGGGGUGGAAUUCCGCGUGUAGCAGUGAAAUGCGUAGAUAUGCGGAUGAACACCGAUGGCGAAGGCAGCCACCUGGUCCACUUCUGACGCUGAGGCGCGAAAGCGUGGGGAGCAAACAGGAUUAGAUACCCGGGUAGUCCCUGUCUCUUAUAC
RNAcentral lists this ribosomal RNA (301 nucleotides) under uncultured bacterium. RNAcentral describes it as "partial 16S ribosomal RNA". It matches the Rfam family "Bacterial small subunit ribosomal RNA", at positions 509 to 807 of the family's 1533-position model. The record is from RNAcentral.